This 76-nucleotide transfer RNA is filed under the name Klebsiella pneumoniae. RNAcentral's name for it is "tRNA-Ala". It matches the Rfam family "tRNA". Rfam says of the family: Transfer RNA (tRNA) molecules are approximately 80 nucleotides in length. Their secondary structure includes four short double-helical elements and three loops (D, anti-codon, and T loops). RNAcentral also lists the same sequence under 100 other names. Lineage: Bacteria; Pseudomonadati; Pseudomonadota; Gammaproteobacteria; Enterobacterales; Enterobacteriaceae. The record is from RNAcentral.
GGGGCCUUAGCUCAGCUGGGAGAGCGCCUGCUUUGCACGCAGGAGGUCAUCGGUUCGAUCCCGAUAGGCUCCACCA